ACCAUCCAGGCUUGAGUGACCAAUCCUAGCUCUAGUCUCAGCAACAUGAACCAGCAGGUGAACAUGAUCCUCUAACCAUCCAUGCUUGAGUGACCAAUCCUACCUUUAAGUAGAUUCAUUGAAGGAUCAUUUACACAGCUGGGACCUGUCCUUCAAGAGUUUGGCUUUGAAUACACUUCCAGUAAAUAUGGAGUCAUGAGCUAAAGUGUCUUGUGUUUCUGGAGUCAUUUGCAAAGGCACCAUGGCUUGAAAUUGCUGAAGAUUUAACAAAUUGGAUUCUUCUUGUAUUCCUUUCAGUGUUGUGUUUACUGUGGCCUUUCUUGGAGAUGAAGUUACCUGGCUUAAGGAGCAUAGGCAAAGGAACAUCAGUGAGCCAAGCAGGGUGAAGAGGUUCCUGUCUACCGUGGUCCUUGGAGGGGCUUCACCUCACAGACCUGGCCAGUACAAGCAGGGUGCUCCAAAGCAGUGGUUCCUGUCUACCGUGGUCCUUGGAGGGGCUUCACCUCACAGACUUGGCCAGUACAAGCAGGGUGCUCCAAAGCAGUGGUUCCUGUCUACCGUGGUCCUUGGAGGGGCUUCACCUCACAGACUUGGCCAGUACAAACAGGGUGCUGCAAAGCUCAAAUAUUAGAUUUGCAGAAAGUAUCCAGCAUUGCCCAUACAUAGUAAACAGGAUUUCAGGCUUGCCAUGUAGAUGUUUUUAGUCAAAGGGAAAAGUAAAUUUUGCACGACAGCUUCGGUAUCAAGGGUGUAUAAAUGUCUCUAGAAAAAGAAGUAAUCUUAUUUUAAAGCGUAGCUGCAAUACAGUAUGUUUGAAAACAAUUUUGGGGGAACUUUGUAAGCUUGUUUGAUGUGUUUUUACAUUCCUGUUUGGUUACAUGCAUUGAAAAAGGCACCUUUUUAACACUUGAAAUCAUCCAAGCUUUUCUGGACAACUGAGGGCGCUAUUGCUAUGAAGUCCAGUCUAAUAAAGGGUCUGAUAAAGGAAUUAAUGCUUGCUUUUUGCUAUGAACAAAAAACAACAAUGAAUCAGUGAAGAGGAGAAAUUUGUGUCCUGCAAAAUCUACAAAAAUAAAGGACUUCUUUUGAGAACAAACCAUCCAACAUUGAGGCUUUCUUCCUGAGAUGAUGUUACACUUUUACUGUAGUCAUAAAGGCCAAGGGAAAUGCUAAUUAGCAUUAAAACCUAAAAGACAGUAAAUUACCCUUUGAAAUACUGAAAGAAAAGCCAGAAAUCAGGUCAACUGAGAAAAUUAGGAUGCAUUUGGAAGGUUUGUAUUCAAACAAAUUGAUUGCAGCUACCCUUCAAGUUGGUUUCCAAUCAUGAUCAUUUAGUUUACCAAAUAAUCAGUAUUUUGCAUUCUGUGCAUUAGAUAGACUAAUUUGUGCACUCAAUAUUGUACGUUCAAAAACUGUCAAAAUCUGUCAAAUUGUUGGUGACUGCACAAAAUCAUAGUUAUGCCUUAAGCUAUUAAAUGUCGAUAGAUUAGAACUCUUUGAAAUCUUGAAGCUUGGAAAAGCUGGGCUGGUAUUUAUCAAAAUUUUCAAUUUUUCAAGCUUUUUCAAAAUACAAAAGCAGGCAUUGUAAAUUCCUGAUAUUCCAAGUUACAAGUAGCUGGAACAAGAGGCUUGUUACUACCAAAUUUUCUCAGAGAUGCCUCUGAUUGAAAGAAAUUUCCAUGUCCACCGGAUCUUUCUCAAAGUGAUGUUACUUUAUGCUAGUUGAUUUUUUCUGACAGAUACAUAUACAUAAUAUUAAAAUGAAUAAUUUGAAGCAGUUAGUAUAGAAGUGCUUACACUUGAUUGACGUAUGAAUUUAUAUUAAACUGAAUACAUCAAAUUUAGUACUUAUCAGUCCGUUUCUACCCUCA
Molecule: long non-coding RNA, 1871 nt
Organism: Acanthaster planci (crown-of-thorns starfish)
Lineage: Eukaryota; Metazoa; Echinodermata; Asteroidea; Valvatida; Acanthasteridae
Source: RefSeq, a predicted model, not a curated record